GGGGUUGUGGCUCAGCGGUACAGCGCUCGCCUAGCAUGUGCGAGGCCCUGGGUUUGAUCCUCAGCACCACG
Molecule: transfer RNA, 71 nt
Filed under: Marmota monax (woodchuck)
Lineage: Eukaryota; Metazoa; Chordata; Mammalia; Rodentia; Sciuridae
Description: tRNA.Ala
Source: RNAcentral